UUUUUCGCGGUUGUAGUUGGUCUGAGCCUCUGUCUCAGUGUUCUCUUAGCUUUGUUUCAGUUUACUCUGAACUUAUCUCAUAUUUGUCAUUUUUCUCUCUAAGUAUCGUUCCUCAUCACAUAUCCUCUACCAUCUACCUCUGCUAUUCAACUCUUUGGAUGUUUCCUUCAAGGAUGUUAUCUGGCAGCACUCCUUGGUGGUGGUGGCAACUUUGCGGCGAUGGUGCAGCUAAUAUGGUGGAGGCAGCUGUUUUCUUUUAUCAGUUCUCCGGUUUUUUGGCUUUUGUAUUGCUAUGGACUGCCUCUUUUGGGCCCACUUUAUUGUAAUUUCUUUAUGUAGACUUGGGCUUUGUUUGACUGUUUUGGAUUCUCUUUUUGGAUGGUUUUUACCUUUUUAUA
Pyrus x bretschneideri (Chinese white pear) is the source of this 398-nucleotide long non-coding RNA. RefSeq lists it as uncharacterized. The record is from RefSeq and is a predicted model, not a curated record. NCBI's taxonomy places the organism in Eukaryota, Viridiplantae, Streptophyta, Magnoliopsida, Rosales, Rosaceae. The transcript has 2 exons.